This 1007-nucleotide long non-coding RNA is filed under the name Oreochromis niloticus (Nile tilapia). Its description in RNAcentral is "lncRNA (ENSONIG00000039520.1)". The record is from RNAcentral. Lineage: Eukaryota; Metazoa; Chordata; Actinopteri; Cichliformes; Cichlidae.
AUGUGGGACUCUGACCAGCAACAUCCAGCAAGACUCAGGCAGCGUUUUCUAUCUCCCAGCUGGAGUUUUUUGUUUGUCUGUGACUGCAGAGUCAGAUCUUUGUUGAGCUUCACACUUGCAGAGGUUAAUACACUCUACUGAUCCCUGAUGGGAGAAUCAUCACCUCUGCCAGCAAAGAAGCCUGGUGGAUGUUUGUUUACAGUCUGAUGAUGCGACAUCAUGCUCUGCAUCUUCAAAGUUUGUGUCAAUGGAAAAUUGUACUUAGUAGUCAGUAUAAGCUUUUAAUGAUAUAAGUUUACAUGUGACAGAUUACUGCAUGAUGACCUUUUCCUUGCUUAGAACUGAUUGUUCUUUAUAAAACGUGUUCUGAUAUUUUUAUCUGAAUCUUCCCACAGCGAUAGUAAGAAGCUGAACAAGCAGCUCUGACCUCGCACACACACACACACACACACACACAUACACACAUACACACAUGCUCACGUAUCAACAUUCCACUGAACAAAUGUUUUCAUUUUUCUUGUGUAUAAAUAAAGACAAGUGCAAGAACAGAGCGCGCUCUUCACAGGGCCCCACUCUGAUGUGAGCGCUCUGUGAAAACAAGUCAAAUCUGCAGCGUGUGUGUCUUCACUCUCUGACUCUCAGCUGAAGAAGUGUCUUUUAGAAUAAAUCUUGACAGGAUAUGAUGUGAAGUUAUAUAUUUUGUUCAUAUUGUGAAUGCUCCUGCAUAACAAUGGGAGGUGUACUAACUUUGUCUUAUUUAAAGGUUGCAUGAAAAUAGCAGUUCAGGGCAGAACUAGGCUAGCUUGCCUCUCUGUGGUGAAUACACAGUAAAGAACACAGUGUUGGACUGGUGCACAGCGACUGAGGUGUUCAUCGUCAGAGUUGGGUUACAUCAAGCGUUCCAGAGAUUUAAGUUGGUGCUGAAGGAUGUUACACACUGUGUUAUUUUACUAAUCAGAACUUGCCAUGUAGCCUAUAUACACACCAAAUGUGUUACAUUUUUGCAA